UGGGGAAUAUUGGACAAUGGGCGAAAGCCUGAUCCAGCCAUGCCGCGUGUGUGAAUAAGGUCUUCGGAUUGUAAAGCACUUUAAGUUGGUAGGAAGGGCAGUAAGCGAAUACCUUGCUGUUUUGACGUUACCGACAGAAUAAGCACCGGCUAACUCUGUGCCCGCAGCCGCGGUAAUACAGAGGGUGCAAGCGUUAAUCGGAAUUACUGGGCGUAAAGCGCGCGUAGGUGGUUCGUUAAGUUGAAUGUGAAAGCCCCGGGCUCAACCUGGGAACUGCAUCCAAAACUGGCGAGCUAGAGUAGGGCAGAGGGUGGUGGAAUUUCCUGUGUAGCGGUGAAAUGCGUAGAUAUAGGAAGGAACAACAGUGGCGAAGGCGACCACCUGGGCUCAUACUGACACUGAGGUGCGAAAGCGUGGGGAGCAAACAGG
Molecule: ribosomal RNA, 429 nt
Filed under: Pseudomonadota bacterium
Lineage: Bacteria; Pseudomonadati; Pseudomonadota
Description: Proteobacteria bacterium partial 16S ribosomal RNA
Rfam family: Bacterial small subunit ribosomal RNA
Source: RNAcentral